This 1233-nucleotide long non-coding RNA is filed under the name Neodiprion pinetum (white pine sawfly). RNAcentral's name for it is "uncharacterized LOC124223449, transcript variant X1". The record is from RNAcentral. Lineage: Eukaryota; Metazoa; Arthropoda; Insecta; Hymenoptera; Diprionidae.
UUCCUGCGCUCCAGUGUAACCUGAGGUGGUUAUCAAUGGUUGUUCGAGGUGGUUGAUGUUGGUUAGAGGUGGUCGGAGUUGGUUGGCGGUGUUCAAACGUGGUCGAGGAGGAGGACGAGGAAGACGAGGAGAACAAGGUGGACGAGGAGGACAAGGAUUUGUGCUCGGUUUAACCUGAGGUGGUUAUCGGUGAUUGUUCGAGGUGGUUGGUGGUGGUUGGAGGUGGUUGGAGGUGGUUUGUGGUGGUUGGAGGUAGUCGUAUGAGGACGAGGAAUACGAGGAGAACAAGGUGGACGAGGAGGCCGAGGAUUUGUGCUCGGUAUAACCCGUUAUGGUUAGCGGUGGUUGUUGGAGGUUGUUGGCGGUGGUUGGCGGUGGUCGGAGGUGGUUGGCGGUGAUGAAAGGCGGCUGGCAAAGGAGGAGAAGACGGAGAAUCAGGACGAAGAGGACCAGGACAAAGACGACGAGGAGGACCAGGCGGACCAGGAGGACGGUGGUGGUCAAAGGUAGUAGGGGGUGUUAGGCAGGAGUAGGUGUAGAAAUGCUGGGAGUUAAGGAUAACAUGCAAGAAAUGUCGAAACUUGACGAUUGGUGAAUUUUCCACAUGACUGCUUGACUAUUAUACGAGUAAAUAUUUUACACACAAUGUUAUUCUACACGUAAUUAUGGCAACAGAAAAAUUAGACCACACAUGAAUACAAAACCUAAAAUUACGCUGUACAUAAUUAUACUACACGAAAUUAUUCUACACAUGAUCAUACCAUAUCAAAUCAUACUGAACGUAAUUAAACGACAUAGAAUUAUACCACACAGUUAUAUUACUCAAAAUCAUAGUACACAUGAAUAUGCCACGCACAAUCAUUCAACUCAUAUUCUUCCAGUAAAUAAUGAUUGAACUUAUGUGUAUUGAACUAUCUGCUACGCAACUACCAUUUAUAAGUAUAACCAACUGAACUGUGAAAAUAAGAUACUCUAGGUAAAAUAUUGAUACAAAAUCGAUUGUACGAGUAGGAAAGUGACUAUUCUGUGAUUUGACAUGUAUGCAACCAUCGUAACUAACUCGUCUUUUUUUAUCAUUAAAAUAUUAAGUUGUGGGUUUUGAUAUAAAUGUAAGUUAAGACGGGCUGCAGAUAGGUGCAUUAUAUAACACUGCAGAUUAUGACCUAAUGUUAAAGGAUACUGAUUUAUUCUUGUCUAACCUAUUAUGUGAAUAAAAUAAAAAGUAUUAUACCA